RNAcentral lists this transfer RNA (66 nucleotides) under Streptomyces mutabilis. The record is from RNAcentral. Lineage: Bacteria; Bacillati; Actinomycetota; Actinomycetes; Kitasatosporales; Streptomycetaceae.
AUCGGCCAGCCGGAUCAGCGCCCUGGAGACGGCCCGAACCAUGCUGCCCGUCGCGAGCGCGCACGC